This is a long non-coding RNA of Hemicordylus capensis (graceful crag lizard), 649 nucleotides long. RefSeq lists it as uncharacterized. The record is from RefSeq and is a predicted model, not a curated record. The transcript is spliced from 3 exons. Lineage: Eukaryota; Metazoa; Chordata; Lepidosauria; Squamata; Cordylidae.
UCCUACUGCCCCACCACUAGGCCCAGCUUACCUCCAACCAUUGAACAAGUACAUGUAACUUGAGGCUUGAUGCCUCUGUGUGCCUGAGACAGGGCAAUGAAAUGCCACGCACCUUAUGUGUACCUGUCUCUUCCCCUUCUCCUCCCUUUAAAAGCAGGAGACAGAAGGGCAUCUUGCUACCUUCCUGAGCCCCAGUAAUCUGCUGCCAGAGGCAACUGCCUUACCUCACCUCAUAGAAGGGCCACCCUGCAUAGGCCCAAAAACCUGUUGUCCUUACCCCUCCUCCACUCCCAGUUUUCAUAGAAAGAACACCUGACAUAAGUUCCAGAUCAGAAGGAGAUCGUGGAAUGGUUGGCUUCUCAUAAGCCAUAUUUUUCUAAGGUGUUACCCUUUGCCAAGGCAUUGUUUAUAAAACAAGUUCCAUAAAUCAAGUGAAAAUACACAGUGGAUUAGCAGCCACAGAUGCCACACUGUUUUAUACCUACUUCCUGGCAACUUGACAAUCCAAAGGUACCUACCUACUGGUGGAUCUCCGGCUACUAUGUGAACCAGGCCAUGUUGUUUUAGCACAUGAAAAGACAGACAUUUCUUCUUUGCUAAUUUUAGAACUGGCAGAUAUUGAACUGGUGAAUUUCAACAACUGAAUCUG